AAAUGACUCUCGGCAACGGAUAUCCCGGCUCUCGCAUCGAUGAAGAACGUAGCGAAAUGCGAUACUUGGUGUGAAUUGCAGAAUCCCGUGAACCAUCGAGUCUUUGAACGCAAGUUGCGCCCGAGGCCUCGGCUAAGGGCACGUCUGCCUGGGUGUCAUGU
RNAcentral lists this ribosomal RNA (161 nucleotides) under Lilaeopsis mauritiana. Its description in RNAcentral is "5.8S ribosomal RNA". It matches the Rfam family "5.8S ribosomal RNA". Rfam says of the family: 5.8S ribosomal RNA (5.8S rRNA) is a component of the large subunit of the eukaryotic ribosome. The record is from RNAcentral. Lineage: Eukaryota; Viridiplantae; Streptophyta; Magnoliopsida; Apiales; Apiaceae. RNAcentral also lists the same sequence under 2 other names.